Molecule: ribosomal RNA, 874 nt
Filed under: uncultured archaeon
Lineage: Archaea
Description: bacterial SSU rRNA
Rfam family: Archaeal small subunit ribosomal RNA
Source: RNAcentral
CCCGACUGCUAUCGGAGUGGGACUAAGCCAUGCGGGUCAACAUAGCAAUAUGUGGCAUACGGCUCAGUAACACGUAGUCAACAUGCCCAGGGGACGUGGAUAACCUCGGGAAACUGAGGAUAAACCGCGAUAGGUCAUCACUUCUGGAAUGGGUAAUGACUUAAAUCUAUAUGGCCCCUGGAUUGGACUGCGGCCGAUCAGGCUGUUGGUGAGGUAAUGGCCCACCAAACCUGUAACCGGUACGGGCUCUGAGAGGAGGAGCCCGGAGAUGGGCACUGAGACAAGGGCCCAGGCCCUAUGGGGCGCAGCAGGCGCGAAACCUCUGCAAUAGGCGAAAGCCUGACAGGGUUACUCUGAGUGAUUUCCGUUAAGGAGAUCUUUUGGCACCUCUAAAAAUGGUGCAGAAUAAGGGGUGGGCAAGUCUGGUGUCAGCCGCCGCGGUAAUACCAGCACCCCGAGUGGUCGGGACGAUUAUUGGGCCUAAAGCAUCCGUAGCCGGUUUUACAAGUCCUCCGUUAAAUCCAACUGCUUAACAGAUGGGCCGCGGAGGAUACUAUAAGACUAGGAGGCAGGAGAGGCAAGCGGUACUCAGUGGGUAGGGGUAAAAUCCGUUGAUCCAUUGAAGACCACCAGUGGCGAAGGCGGCUUGCCAGAAUGCGCUCGACGGUGAGGGAUGAAAGCUGGGGGAGCAAACCGGAUUAGAUACCCGGGUAGUCCCAGCUGUAAACGAUGCAGACUCGGUGAUGGACUAGCUUAAUGCUGGUCCAGUGCCGCAGGGAAGCCGUUAAGUCUGCCGCCUGGGUAGUACGGUCGCAAGACUGAAACUUAAAGGAAUUGACGGGGGGAGCACCACAAGGGGUGAAGCCUGCGGUUC